GAGUCUGAGGACUUGUGGGGGCUGGGGGGUGACGGACGUGGAGGUGUGGUACCUCCUGGGGGUAGCCUCACCCCAGGCCCUCCCUCUCUUGGUGAGAAGCUCGGGUCACACUUCAAGCAACAGCUCUGGUCCAAAGCAUUCUGGGACAGCCCUGGGAGGGGGGCCAGGCUGAGACCCUGCAAUGGGGGCCAACCACAUGCUCACAACUUCACAGCCCAGGGCUUCUCAGGGACCGGGUGACCACUGGGAUCUGGUGACUGCGGUGGUGGCCAGGCUCGGGCUGGGCGUCCAGCUCAUCUCACUGGCCCUCACUCCACCACCCAGGACGCCAUCGUGCAGAGCAGAAAGGGAGGCUCGCAGAGGUUACAGGGCUCGCCUGCGUGCUAUAAAAGGACUGAGGCACGAGUUUCCUUCUAAUUAAAAAGUGACUCCGUAGGACAGCUCCCAUCACCAGUCUUUCUCCCGGUGAGGCUGUCAAUCAUGGUGCCUACUCCGGUCAUGGGUGGGCGCAUGGCCCGCGCUGGCCAAUCAGAGCAUGCUACGUUCGAUCACGUGGCGGGGGUCCCUCCGCCUUCCCCUCGGUGAGACUCGGACCCCCAGCAGAGGGCGCAGGAUGCGGUGGGGUGGCUCCAGCCUGCCUGAGACUUCCCUUCGUGGGGGCCGGUAGCAGCAGCUGGGCCGCGUGGCCUGACCGGCUCCAGCCGAGACCGUCCUUUGCCCAAGCGUGGGCUUCCCUUUCUGCAUAGAGGUUUUCGGAUUUCUGAGGGUUGCGCCAGAGGAGACCCCCUCCCGGGGCAGAAGUGAAGAGAGGAUCUCCAAACUGGAACAGCCCAAAUGUCCAAGCAUAGCCGACCCAGACCACGGACACUGCCGCCACCAGGAGGAAAGAGCUGUAGACACACACAGCGCCCUGGUUUCUCUUCAAGGAACUUAUCUUCCAGACACAUGUGCAAGAGGGCACAAACAUAUGUGAAGAAAUGUCCUCUGUAGCAUGUGUUAUAUUGAGAAACCAGAAGCAACCUAAAUGUCCAACAGCAGGCCACUGGCUAGAUAGAUACAUGUCAACUGACCGACCAUCCCCGUUGGCCCAGGACCGGCUAGGAACUAGUGCUGAAAUUCCCUCAUCCUGGGAAACCCCAGAACCCCAGAAACCUGGACGGCUGGUUGCCAUAAACACACCAUGGUACGGCCGUGCCAGGGACUACUACGAAGCCGUGACAAGUGACCGGUGGAGCUCUGUACUGACAUGGAAGAGGUCCCAGAGAGGAGGUGCAGGUGGCCAGGAGCCAUUCGCAGACGUUGUCUGGGAGCUCGGGUGUGAGGGAGGUGCAACUUUCUAUGCCUUUGUGCCAUUGGAUUCGUUUACUUUGUGUGUGUAUGGAUUUUAUAACUAUAAAAAUAUUU
Molecule: long non-coding RNA, 1404 nt
Organism: Rhinolophus ferrumequinum (greater horseshoe bat)
Lineage: Eukaryota; Metazoa; Chordata; Mammalia; Chiroptera; Rhinolophidae
Exons: 3
Source: RefSeq, a predicted model, not a curated record